GAUGAACGCUGGCGGCGUGCCUAAUACAUGCAAGUCGAGCGAACGGACGAGAAGCUUGCUUCUCUGAUGUUAGCGGCGGACGGGUGAGUAACACGUGGAUAACCUACCUAUAAGACUGGGAUAACUUCGGGAAACCGGAGCUAAUACCGGAUAAUAUUUUGAACCGCAUGGUUCAAAAGUGAAAGACGGUCUUGCUGUCACUUAUAGAUGGAUCCGCGCUGCAUUAGCUAGUUGGUAAGGUAACGGCUUACCAAGGCAACGAUGCAUAGCCGACCUGAGAGGGUGGUCGGCCACCUUGGAGCGGGGACGCGGUCCAGACUCCUACGGGAGGCAGCAGUAGGGAAUCGUCCGCAAUGGGCGAAAGCCUGACGGAGCAACGCCGCGUGAGUGAUGAAGGUCUUCGGAUCGUAAAACUCUGUUAUUAGGGAAGAACAUAUGUGUAAGUAACUGUGCACAUCUUGACGGUACCUAAUCAGAAAGCCACGGCUAACUACGCG
This 497-nucleotide ribosomal RNA is filed under the name uncultured bacterium. RNAcentral describes it as "partial 16S ribosomal RNA". It matches the Rfam family "Bacterial small subunit ribosomal RNA", at positions 28 to 507 of the family's 1533-position model. The record is from RNAcentral.